UACGAAGGGGGCUAGCGUUGUUCGGAAUUACUGGGCGUAAAGCGCGUGUAGGCGGGUCUUUAAGUCAGGGGUGAAAUGCCAGGGCUCAACCUUGGAACUGCCUUUGAUACUGGAGACCUUGAGUCCGGGAGAGGUGAGUGGAAUUGCGAGUGUAGAGGUGAAAUUCGUAGAUACUCGCAAGAACACCAGUGGCGAAGGCGGCUCACUGGCCCGGAACUGACGCUGAGACGCGAAAGCGUGGGGAGCAAACAGG
RNAcentral lists this ribosomal RNA (253 nucleotides) under uncultured bacterium. RNAcentral's name for it is "partial 16S ribosomal RNA". It matches the Rfam family "Bacterial small subunit ribosomal RNA", at positions 524 to 776 of the family's 1533-position model. The record is from RNAcentral.